ACGCUCGACACCUACGGGAGGCAGCAGUGAGGAAUAUUGGUCAAUGGGCGCUAGCCUGAACCAGCCAAGUAGCGUGAAGGAUGAAGGCUCUAUGGGUCGUAAACCUCUUUUAUAUAAGAAUAAAGUGCAGUAUGUAUACUGUUUUGUAUGUAUUAUAUGAAUAAGGAUCGGCUAACUCCGUGCCCGCAGCCGCGGUAAUCUGAGCGGCUGGCAAGC
RNAcentral lists this ribosomal RNA (216 nucleotides) under uncultured bacterium. Its description in RNAcentral is "partial 16S ribosomal RNA". It matches the Rfam family "Bacterial small subunit ribosomal RNA", at positions 328 to 539 of the family's 1533-position model. The record is from RNAcentral.